Hypomesus transpacificus is the source of this 804-nucleotide long non-coding RNA. RefSeq lists it as uncharacterized. The transcript is spliced from 3 exons. The record is from RefSeq and is a predicted model, not a curated record. Lineage: Eukaryota; Metazoa; Chordata; Actinopteri; Osmeriformes; Osmeridae.
GAAAGCUCUAAGGUGGAGCAAAAAGGCAGAAAACAACUCUAACCUGAAACAGAGGAUGACGCUCCAGCCAAACGCCCGCACAAAUUUGUGGACAGUAGUGGAGAUGAGGAGCAGCCAUGUAUCAUGGAGAACAAAAUGAAAAAUUAAAGGUACAUUUGUUAUUUUACUACAAGACAGCUACAAAAAAACACUAAGUUGCCAGCCGCUGUAAUAUAACAUGUAUUCUCUAUGCAAAAGGCCCAAAUGUCCAUGGCAUGGUGGGCAACCAGAAGACCCAUAAAGGUUGGAUCUUUUUUUAAAUGUUUGUCAGACUGUACUAGUAUAAAUGCCAUAAUUUUAUCAAUUGUCACCCAUCAUAAACUGUGCAGCGAUAACCUUACCGACUCCACCACUACCAACAACAUCCCAUCGUAGGUUAUUCCAGAAUCUCAAUAAUCAACAGUAAUUAAACAUUUUAACACAGUUGUACUAUCAAUAUGCUAAUACUUUGUGCAUAAACUGCAUUACACUUUCAUUUCUCUAAAGAUUAUCCUACCACCGUCACGGGGCCUGGCGUGUUCCAGUUAAAUAAUGAUGCCAUACACCCAGGAGUUAUUUCUGGAGUGGUGGAGGAGAACCCAUUAAGGGAUCGAGAAAACACCUGGCAGCCCGGCAAGUUCAAAUAUAAGUCUAAAAAAAAUACUAAAAGCUUUUCAAUAGCAUUGAAUGCAUAAAAUGCAUACCCAAGUUGUUCUGAUUGUGGCGGGGGGGAAAUGUAUUUGUCAUACGAAUGCUUUUAUACCCCAUUCAGCUCUACCAUCUUGG